RNAcentral lists this ribosomal RNA (2923 nucleotides) under Staphylococcus aureus. RNAcentral's name for it is "23S ribosomal RNA". It matches the Rfam family "Bacterial large subunit ribosomal RNA". The record is from RNAcentral. Lineage: Bacteria; Bacillati; Bacillota; Bacilli; Caryophanales; Staphylococcaceae.
GAUUAAGUUAUUAAGGGCGCACGGUGGAUGCCUUGGCACUAGAAGCCGAUGAAGGACGUUACUAACGACGAUAUGCUUUGGGGAGCUGUAAGUAAGCUUUGAUCCAGAGAUUUCCGAAUGGGGAAACCCAGCAUGAGUUAUGUCAUGUUAUCGAUAUGUGAAUACAUAGCAUAUCAGAAGGCACACCCGGAGAACUGAAACAUCUUAGUACCCGGAGGAAGAGAAAGAAAAUUCGAUUCCCUUAGUAGCGGCGAGCGAAACGGGAAGAGCCCAAACCAACAAGCUUGCUUGUUGGGGUUGUAGGACACUCUAUACGGAGUUACAAAGGACGACAUUAGACGAAUCAUCUGGAAAGAUGAAUCAAAGAAGGUAAUAAUCCUGUAGUCGAAAAUGUUGUCUCUCUUGAGUGGAUCCUGAGUACGACGGAGCACGUGAAAUUCCGUCGGAAUCUGGGAGGACCAUCUCCUAAGGCUAAAUACUCUCUAGUGACCGAUAGUGAACCAGUACCGUGAGGGAAAGGUGAAAAGCACCCCGGAAGGGGAGUGAAAUAGAACCUGAAACCGUGUGCUUACAAGUAGUCAGAGCCCGUUAAUGGGUGAUGGCGUGCCUUUUGUAGAAUGAACCGGCGAGUUACGAUUUGAUGCAAGGUUAAGCAGUAAAUGUGGAGCCGUAGCGAAAGCGAGUCUGAAUAGGGCGUUUAGUAUUUGGUCGUAGACCCGAAACCAGGUGAUCUACCCUUGGUCAGGUUGAAGUUCAGGUAACACUGAAUGGAGGACCGAACCGACUUACGUUGAAAAGUGAGCGGAUGAACUGAGGGUAGCGGAGAAAUUCCAAUCGAACCUGGAGAUAGCUGGUUCUCUCCGAAAUAGCUUUAGGGCUAGCCUCAAGUGAUGAUUAUUGGAGGUAGAGCACUGUUUGGACGAGGGGCCCCUCUCGGGUUACCGAAUUCAGACAAACUCCGAAUGCCAAUUAAUUUAACUUGGGAGUCAGAACAUGGGUGAUAAGGUCCGUGUUCGAAAGGGAAACAGCCCAGACCACCAGCUAAGGUCCCAAAAUAUAUGUUAAGUGGAAAAGGAUGUGGCGUUGCCCAGACAACUAGGAUGUUGGCUUAGAAGCAGCCAUCAUUUAAAGAGUGCGUAAUAGCUCACUAGUCGAGUGACACUGCGCCGAAAAUGUACCGGGGCUAAACAUAUUACCGAAGCUGUGGAUUGUCCUUUGGACAAUGGUAGGAGAGCGUUCUAAGGGCAUUGAAGCAUGAUCGUAAGGACAUGUGGAGCGCUUAGAAGUGAGAAUGCCGGUGUGAGUAGCGAAAGACGGGUGAGAAUCCCGUCCACCGAUUGACUAAGGUUUCCAGAGGAAGGCUCGUCCGCUCUGGGUUAGUCGGGUCCUAAGCUGAGGCCGACAGGCGUAGGCGAUGGAUAACAGGUUGAUAUUCCUGUACCACCUAUAAUCGUUUUAAUCGAUGGGGGGACGCAGUAGGAUAGGCGAAGCGUGCGAUUGGAUUGCACGUCUAAGCAGUAAGGCUGAGUAUUAGGCAAAUCCGGUACUCGUUAAGGCUGAGCUGUGAUGGGGAGAAGACAUUGUGUCUUCGAGUCGUUGAUUUCACACUGCCGAGAAAAGCCUCUAGAUAGAAAAUAGGUGCCCGUACCGCAAACCGACACAGGUAGUCAAGAUGAGAAUUCUAAGGUGAGCGAGCGAACUCUCGUUAAGGAACUCGGCAAAAUGACCCCGUAACUUCGGGAGAAGGGGUGCUCUUUAGGGUUAACGCCCAGAAGAGCCGCAGUGAAUAGGCCCAAGCGACUGUUUAUCAAAAACACAGGUCUCUGCUAAACCGUAAGGUGAUGUAUAGGGGCUGACGCCUGCCCGGUGCUGGAAGGUUAAGAGGAGUGGUUAGCUUCUGCGAAGCUACGAAUCGAAGCCCCAGUAAACGGCGGCCGUAACUAUAACGGUCCUAAGGUAGCGAAAUUCCUUGUCGGGUAAGUUCCGACCCGCACGAAAGGCGUAACGAUUUGGGCACUGUCUCAACGAGAGACUCGGUGAAAUCAUAGUACCUGUGAAGAUGCAGGUUACCCGCGACAGGACGGAAAGACCCCGUGGAGCUUUACUGUAGCCUGAUAUUGAAAUUCGGCACAGCUUGUACAGGAUAGGUAGGAGCCUUUGAAACGUGAGCGCUAGCUUACGUGGAGGCGCUGGUGGGAUACUACCCUAGCUGUGUUGGCUUUCUAACCCGCACCACUUAUCGUGGUGGGAGACAGUGUCAGGCGGGCAGUUUGACUGGGGCGGUCGCCUCCUAAAAGGUAACGGAGGCGCUCAAAGGUUCCCUCAGAAUGGUUGGAAAUCAUUCAUAGAGUGUAAAGGCAUAAGGGAGCUUGACUGCGAGACCUACAAGUCGAGCAGGGUCGAAAGACGGACUUAGUGAUCCGGUGGUUCCGCAUGGAAGGGCCAUCGCUCAACGGAUAAAAGCUACCCCGGGGAUAACAGGCUUAUCUCCCCCAAGAGUUCACAUCGACGGGGAGGUUUGGCACCUCGAUGUCGGCUCAUCGCAUCCUGGGGCUGUAGUCGGUCCCAAGGGUUGGGCUGUUCGCCCAUUAAAGCGGUACGCGAGCUGGGUUCAGAACGUCGUGAGACAGUUCGGUCCCUAUCCGUCGUGGGCGUAGGAAAUUUGAGAGGAGCUGUCCUUAGUACGAGAGGACCGGGAUGGACAUACCUCUGGUGUACCAGUUGUCGUGCCAACGGCAUAGCUGGGUAGCUAUGUGUGGACGGGAUAAGUGCUGAAAGCAUCUAAGCAUGAAGCCCCCCUCAAGAUGAGAUUUCCCAACUUCGGUUAUAAGAUCCCUCAAAGAUGAUGAGGUUAAUAGGUUCGAGGUGGAAGCAUGGUGACAUGUGGAGCUGACGAAUACUAAUCGAUCGAAGACUUAAUCAA